Molecule: ribosomal RNA, 497 nt
Filed under: uncultured bacterium
Lineage: Bacteria
Description: partial 16S ribosomal RNA
Rfam family: Bacterial small subunit ribosomal RNA
Source: RNAcentral
GAUGAACGCUGGCGGCGUGCCUAAUACAUGCAAGUCGAGCGAACAGACGAGGAGCUUGUUCCUCUGACGUUAGCGGCGGACGGGUGAGUAACACGUGGAUAUCCUACCUAUAAGACUGGGAUAACUUCGGGAAACCGGAGCUAAUACCGGAUAAUAUAUUGAACCGCAUGGUUCAAUAGUGAAAGACGGUUUUGCUGUCACUUAUAGAUGGAUCCGCGCCGCAUUAGCUAGUUGGUAAGGUAACGGCUUACCAAGGCGACGAUGCGUAGCCGACCUGAGAGGGUGAUCGGCCACACUGGAACUGAGACACGGUCCAGACUCCUACGGGAGGCAGCAGUAGGGAAUCUUCCGCAAUGGGCGAAAGCCUGACGGAGCAACGCCGCGUGAGUGAUGAAGGUCUUCGGAUCGUAAAACUCUGUUAUUAGGGAAGAACAAAUGUGUAAGUAACUAUGCACGUCUUGACGGUACCUAAUCAGAAAGCCACGGCUAACUACGUG